CGCUUUUACUCUCCAAAUGAGCCAAUAAAAUGAUUUCCACAACAGAGCUUUCCGACGUGCUUAUGUGGUCGAUCCAACUGCCAUUUCAAUGGCCGGGCCUCGGUGGCGUAUGAGCAAUGCCGGCGCCGUGACCGUCGCGACGCCAUAAGCCAAAAUCAAAGCCGACAACCCAUAUCCAACAGCAACGACGACGACAACUUAAGCCAAUCGAUGCUUUUGUGAUUGUCAAAGUCAAAUAUGGAAUUAUACGCCCACCGACAGUGUCCCAUAGCAUUUUGUGCACACGAAAUAUACUACAGCACAUGAAGUGCUUCGACUUGCUCUCUCUCUCUCUUUUAAAAGGAUUUUUGCUAG
Molecule: long non-coding RNA, 354 nt
Filed under: Drosophila guanche
Lineage: Eukaryota; Metazoa; Arthropoda; Insecta; Diptera; Drosophilidae
Source: RNAcentral